GACGAACGCUGGCGGCGUGCUUAACACAUGCAAGUCGAACGGUAAGGCCCUUCGGGGUACACGAGUGGCGAACGGGUGAGUAACACGUGGGUGGUCUGCCCUGCACUUCGGGAUAAGCCUGGGAAACUGGGUCUAAUACCGGAUAGGACCACUGCCUGCAUGGGUGGUGGUGGAAAGCUUUUGCGGUGUGGGAUGGGCCCGCGGCCUAUCAGCUUGGUGGUGGGGUGAUGGCCUACCAAGGCGACGACGGGGAGCCGGCCUGAGAGGGUGACCGGCCACACUGGGACUGAGGUGCGGCCCGGACUCCUGCGGGAGGCAGCAGUGGGGAAUAUUGCACAAUGGGCGCAAGCCUGAUGCAGCGACGCCGCGUGAGGGAUGACGGCCUUCGGGUUGUAAACCUCUUUCAGCACCGACGAAGCGCAAGUGACGGUAGGUGCAGAAGAAGGACCGGCCAACUACGUGCCAGCCGCCGCCGUAA
Molecule: ribosomal RNA, 478 nt
Filed under: uncultured bacterium
Lineage: Bacteria
Description: partial 16S ribosomal RNA
Rfam family: Bacterial small subunit ribosomal RNA
Source: RNAcentral